This 440-nucleotide ribosomal RNA is filed under the name uncultured bacterium. RNAcentral describes it as "partial 16S ribosomal RNA". It matches the Rfam family "Bacterial small subunit ribosomal RNA", at positions 338 to 795 of the family's 1533-position model. The record is from RNAcentral.
CCUACGGGUGGCAGCAGUGAGGAAUAUUGGGCAAUGGGGGCAACCCUGACCCAGCCAUGCCGCGUGAGUGAAGAAGGUCUUCGGAUUGUAAAGCUCUUUCGGACGUGACGAUGAUGACGGUAGCGUCUAACGACGCACCGGCAAACUUCGUGCCAGCCGCCGCGGCACUACGAAGGGUGCGAGCGUUGUUCGGAAUUACUGGGCGUAAAGGGAGUGUAGGCGGAUAUGUAAGAUAGCGGUGAAAUGCCGGGGCUCAACCCCGGAACUGCCAUUAUGACUAUGUAUCUAGAGUAUUGGAGAGGAUAGCGGAAUACGCAGUGUAGAGGUGAAAUGCGUAGAUAUUGGGUAGAACACCGGUGGCGAAGGCGGCUAGCUGGCCAUUGACUGACGCUGAGGCUCGAAAGCAUGGGGAUCAAACAGGAUUAGAUACCCCAGUAGUC